RNAcentral lists this long non-coding RNA (199 nucleotides) under Carica papaya (papaya). RNAcentral describes it as "long non-coding RNA (CPAP_LNC008951)". Lineage: Eukaryota; Viridiplantae; Streptophyta; Magnoliopsida; Brassicales; Caricaceae. The record is from RNAcentral.
AUGGUUAUUCCCGUAAGCCUUAUUUGGUACUUUCAGUUAUUAUAUAAGGAAUGUAAAUCCUAACUAUUUAUUUCACUUCCGCACUAAAUUUAUAAUUUAUUUCCUUUAGAAUUUACGGGGUCGUUACAAUUGGUAUCAGAGUCACGUUCCUCGAAAUCAUUCCUUACACAAAGUCCUUAAGAAACACCAAAAACAAUGA